Molecule: long non-coding RNA, 786 nt
Filed under: Elaeis guineensis (African oil palm)
Lineage: Eukaryota; Viridiplantae; Streptophyta; Magnoliopsida; Arecales; Arecaceae
Description: long non-coding RNA (EGUI_LNC030562)
Source: RNAcentral
GGGAGGGUGCGGAGGGCAGAGCCCAGGAUGGUGGAGGUCACGAAGUCCAGGUAGAGGAUGAGGGAGACGUGGAUCGUGAAUGGUUGGCUCACAUCGGCGAACGACUGUGGGUCCGAUGGAGCCAUUCUUUCUCCUAUGCGGGCUGGUAAAUCUCCUGAUGCUCAUGGUGGUACGACGGUCGACGGUACUCUGUCAGCGGGAGUUGAAGAUCAGGACGAAGCGACGGGUCAUAAUCAAAAAGCCAGAGGGGCGGUUCGGCCCCAAGCAGGAUGGUAGCGGCGGCAGGGCCCGGGCCGGGGAUGAUGGCAUGGCUCUCCAUGGGGUGGUGGUGGCGGUGGCUGUGGCAGAGGAAGCAUGGCCGAUGAAGCCAUCGCCGGCGAAGGUGACGUAGAUGGAGAAGGAGGUGUAGGCUAAGUUCUGUGAUGCGGGAUUUUGGAGGAGCCCAUCGCAAAAGGAAGUGAAGGAGGAACAGUUAAGGGUAACGGCAUUAGCAUCGGUAGCAAUCUCUCUCCCUCUGUCUUCCUUUUCCCUUCUGAUUCUCCACAAUAAAAAAUUAAAAGACGAUGUCUUUUUCUUUCUUUCAUCCACUCUUUGUUUUUUGUUUUAUCUUUUCGAGACUUGAUUUCGUUAAAUUUAUCAAAAUGAUAAAUUUAUCAAAAUGAUUUUGUUAGAUAGGGGUCAUACAAUGUUAAAUUUCACAGGCCUCCCACCGCCGUCGCCAGCUCUAUCUCUCCACUCUCGCCGCUCUUCGCAUCCUUCGUCUUGCACGUGACCGAUUAACUCUGC